RNAcentral lists this ribosomal RNA (460 nucleotides) under uncultured bacterium. RNAcentral's name for it is "partial 16S ribosomal RNA". It matches the Rfam family "Bacterial small subunit ribosomal RNA", at positions 338 to 795 of the family's 1533-position model. The record is from RNAcentral.
CCUACGGGAGGCAGCAGUGAGGAAUAUUGGUCAAUGGACGCAAGUCUGAACCAGCCAUGCCGCGUGCAGGAUGACGGCUCUAUGAGUUGUAAACUGCUUUUGUACGAGGGUAAACCCCGAUACGUGUAUCGGGUUGAAAGUAUCGUACGAAUAAGGAUCGGCUAACUCCGUUCCAGCAGCCGCGGUACUACGGAGGAUCCGAGCGUUAUCCGGAUUUAUUGGGUUUAACGGGUGCGUAGGCGGUUUGAUAAGUUAGAGGUGAAAUGUCGGGGCUCAACCCCGGAACUGCCUCUAAUACUGGUGGGCUAGAGAAUAGUUGCGGUAGGCAGAAUGUAUGGUGUAGCGGUGAAAUGCUUAGAGAUCAUACAGAACACCGAUUGCGAAGGCAGCUUACCAAACUAUAUCUGACGUUGAGGCGCGAAAGCGUGGGUAGCAAACAGGAUUAGAUACCCGGGUAGUC